This 274-nucleotide ribosomal RNA is filed under the name uncultured bacterium. RNAcentral's name for it is "partial 16S ribosomal RNA". It matches the Rfam family "Bacterial small subunit ribosomal RNA", at positions 523 to 796 of the family's 1533-position model. The record is from RNAcentral.
AUACGGAGGGGGCUAGCGUUGUUCGGAAUUACUGGGCGUAAAGCGUACGUAGGCGGACUGAUCAGUUGGGGGUGAAAUCCCAGGGCUUAACCCUGGAACUGCCUUCAAUACUGUCAGUCUUAAGUUUGGGAGAGGUGAGUGGAAUUCCUAGUGUAGAGGUGAAAUUCAUAGAUAUUAGGAGGAACACCAGUGGCGAAGGCGGCUCACUGGCCCAUUACUGACGCUGAGGUACGAAAGCGUGGGGAGCAAACAGGAUUAGAAACCCUAGUAGUCC